RNAcentral lists this ribosomal RNA (305 nucleotides) under Streptococcus agalactiae. RNAcentral's name for it is "partial 16S ribosomal RNA". It matches the Rfam family "Bacterial small subunit ribosomal RNA", at positions 1 to 296 of the family's 1533-position model. Lineage: Bacteria; Bacillati; Bacillota; Bacilli; Lactobacillales; Streptococcaceae. RNAcentral also lists the same sequence under 1 other name. The record is from RNAcentral.
UUUAAUGAGAGUUUGAUCCUGGCUCAGGACGAACGCUGGCGGCGUGCCUAAUACAUGCAAGUAGAACGCUGAGGUUUGGUGUUUACACUAGACUGAUGAGUUGCGAACGGGUGAGUAACGCGUAGGUAACCUGCCUCAUAGCGGGGGAUAACUAUUGGAAACGAUAGCUAAUACCGCAUAAGAGUAAUUAACACAUGUUAGUUAUUUAAAAGGAGCAAUUGCUUCACUGUGAGAUGGACCUGCGUUGUAUUAGCUAGUUGGUGAGGUAAAGGCUCACCAAGGCGACGAUACAUAGCCGACCUGAG